RNAcentral lists this unclassified non-coding RNA (294 nucleotides) under fungal sp. Its description in RNAcentral is "partial internal transcribed spacer region". The stretch from base 1 to 46 matches the Rfam family "Eukaryotic small subunit ribosomal RNA", at positions 1786 to 1831 of the family's 1831-position model. The record is from RNAcentral. Lineage: Eukaryota; Fungi.
AAGUCGUAACAAGGUUUCCGUAGGUGAACCUGCGGAAGGAUCAUUACAACGUAUCCACGUAUAAACCUUUGUGAACCUGUUUAACCGCAUAAUGCGGAAUCGCAAAGUGUAAGUAAUUCGGAAAAAGAGCUUACACCCGCCUUUUCUCGCAAAAGGGGAUUCUGCUAUUGUGUUUUUCCGUUACACAUUAACCACAUGUAAAUUUCUCUGUAAUUACGGUUUAAGGCGAAAGCUUUUAACUGAUAAAUAUAAGAAAUUAUAGCACAACUCUUAGCAACGGAUAUCUAGGCUCUC